UACAGAGACUGCAAGCGUUAUUCGGAUUCACUGGGCGUAAAGGGUGCGCAGGCGGUUGGGUGUGUCAGAUGUGAAAUCCCGAGGCUUAACCUCGGAACUGCGUCUGAAACUACUCGACUAGAGUACUGGAGAGGGAAACGGAAUUCACGGUGUAGCAGUGAAAUGCGUAGAUAUCGAGAGGAACACCAGUGGCGAAGGCGAGUCCCUGGACAACACCUGACACUGAGGCACGAAAGCUAGGGGAGCAAACAGG
Molecule: ribosomal RNA, 253 nt
Filed under: uncultured bacterium
Lineage: Bacteria
Description: partial 16S ribosomal RNA
Rfam family: Bacterial small subunit ribosomal RNA
Source: RNAcentral